This 479-nucleotide long non-coding RNA is filed under the name Callithrix jacchus (white-tufted-ear marmoset). RNAcentral's name for it is "lncRNA (ENSCJAG00000085980.1)". Lineage: Eukaryota; Metazoa; Chordata; Mammalia; Primates; Cebidae. The record is from RNAcentral.
CUGUAUGUUGAAGAAUGCCCACACAAGACUUGAGGAUAUCUGAGUUCUAACCAUCCAGUGUGAAAAGUCCUCAUAAGCACCAACAACAUUCAAAAGAGACAGUAGUAGAAGAGUUGUGCUUUAGUGAGAUGACUGAAAUAGUUCUGAAAUGAAAAUAACUCUACCUCCAACAAAAGUUACAAACAAGUCAGAAACAGGAGACCAGUUAUUUAGCACAGUUCUUUCUAAGGUGCAGCUUCUUAUACAUCUUUGCCUGUAGAGAUGGGAUUUCACCAUGCUGACCAGGAUGGUCUCUAUCGCUUGACCUCGUGAUCCACCCUUGGCCUCCCAAGUGCUGGAAUUAUAGGCGUGAGCCACUAUGCCCAGCCCCAGCUGAAGUUUUAUCUAUUCUUUAAAUUACAACUCAAAGAUUGCCUUCUUCAGGAAGCCUUCUUAAAUUCCCUCAGUUAAAAAGUGGUGUUUCCAACCUUUCAAUACUG